GCAAGUCGAACGGUAGGAAGUGCUUGCACUUCUGAGAGUGGCGAACGGGUGAGUAACACGUAGAUGAUCUACCAUUUAGUUGGGGAUAGCCCAUGGAAACAUGGAGUAAUACCGAAUAAUCUCUUUUAGCUUUGGCUGAUUGAGGAAAGGAGCUUUUGCUUCGCUGAAUGAUGAGUCUGCGCACUAUUAGCUAGUUGGUGGGGUAAGAGCCUACCAAGGCGACGAUAGAUAGGGGCCCUGAGAGGGGGAUC
This 251-nucleotide ribosomal RNA is filed under the name uncultured bacterium. RNAcentral's name for it is "partial 16S ribosomal RNA". It matches the Rfam family "Bacterial small subunit ribosomal RNA", at positions 57 to 305 of the family's 1533-position model. The record is from RNAcentral.